This 6676-nucleotide long non-coding RNA is filed under the name Homo sapiens (human). RNAcentral describes it as "HSALNT0196701". The record is from RNAcentral. Lineage: Eukaryota; Metazoa; Chordata; Mammalia; Primates; Hominidae.
AAGAAGUGUGCCCCUCCUCCUCCCUAGAAGCCUGUGGGGCCGAGAUGCCCGGACCUGCCCGGCCCGAACUAGGCAAAGUCCAGCGAAUAGGUGAAGAGGUGGUGCCUCCUCCUCUCACAGGGCUCUGCCCCUAGGAGUCCAGGAAACGGGGGUGUCUUGUCCGCUGAUGGUUCCCGCUAAUAGGCAAACACCAGGAACGUGCAGCCCCUCCCCUCCGCCUCGCGCUCUUUCUGGGAGGAGCCUGGGGGGGGGAGGGUCCUGCCCACGGGCCCCGCCCUGCACUAGGCGGAAGCCCCCAAAGUAUCAGCGCCGCUUCGUGGAGCCUGGCGACUGCUUUGGGAAGUCCUGCUGGCAGGCACUCUGCCCCUGGGGGUGUGCAAAGAGUUGUCCAGUUACCUUGAUCUUCUCACAGCCUCCUCCCCAGGGCACCAGGAGAGACCAGGAUUGGAGGACGGUAAAGAACACACUUCCCAGAGGAUUCUUGGAGGUGGCUUCCUCCAGGCAGUAAAUCUACAGCCCAGGCUCCCUGCAUCUUAUGGCUCCAAUCACUUUGGAUCUCAUCGUCGCCUGCACAUUGCCAUACACAGGGAAGGAGAAGAGAUGGAGAAGGCAAAGACUUUCUGAAAGCCGUGGCUAAAAGCUGGCAUGUGUCACAUCAGCUCACAUUCCAUUGUAGAGACGGGGUUUCACCGUGUUAGCCAGGAUGGUCUUGAUAUCCUGACCUCGUGAUCCGCCCGCCUUGGCUUCCCAAAGUGCUGGGAUUACAGGCGUGAGCCACCGCUCCCGGCCUGGCAGGCAUUCUUGAGGCAAACGGGAAAUGGGGUAAGUUACACAAUCGAUACAGCUCCGUCAUCGUGGUUUAAUUACUUUUCCACGUACCAUGUUUCCUGACAGGUAGAACGAUCAGCCUGGGCCUCCGUUUUUCAUUCUACAAAGAAUGAAGUGCAUGAACUGUCCUCUAUAGAAUUGUGGAAAAAGUUGUUUUUAUUGAGUUGUGGUUAUCUUUGUCUUCAUGGUCUAAUUACGGAAAUAAAUGCUUUUCCGAGUCUCCGGGGAUGGUCUGCCCUAGUCCAGCUCUCUGCAGUGUCUUUCUGGGUUUUUCCUCAGUGAACGGGAGGAACAUUGGCAGCACUUGUGGUCUGCACCAAGAACUGAAUCGAAUUUCCAUGUGUUAUUGAAUGUUCACAAAGACCUUGUACAGCGAGUGUUACUACCUCUGGUCAAUGAUUCAACUCAAGGCUCAGAAAAGUCAAGUGUCUUGUCCAGGGACACUUAGUCAGAAGUGAAUCCAAGGUUUAAGCUCAAGUCUGCCUAACUCUGAAUUUCACAGCCUUUUGCUACAUAUGGCGAAUAAUAUAUCCCUGAGCACUAAAGGCAGACUCCAAGGAUCUUGUCUCUGCAAUCAUCAUUCUGGCCAUAAUUUAUGAAAAGCAACCCAAAGUAUGUGAUGUAAUAAAAAGUACUAUCUAUGAGUUUACCCUUCCAAAAAUUGAACUGAAUUCUGAGCUCUAAAUUUGGAAUCAAAAGAACUUUUCUCUGCACUAAUCAUUUGGAACAUCACUUAAAGAAAACAACGAAAAACUGGUGUCCCCUGAGAGAAAGCAAUACAAAACAUUAUGCAUAAAGAAAUCCUUCCAAAAAAUAAACCAAAUCCAGUCAAAUCUCUAGUUUUGACUCCUAGCUUACCGGAAAUACGUGAUGGGAAAAAAAUGAAAUGACACCACUAUGAUUCAAUCAGCCAAAUCCAGCAUAUGCAAAUUUCUACCAGAUAAAUGGUUUAGUUUCUUCCCCAAACAAAUGGCACAAGGAAACGGAGGUAAGAAUGGGAUGCUGUUAUAGAUUUUAAAAGAUUUAAGAAAGUAUAAACUAAAUACACUAUGUGCAUCCUCUCUGAACGUGCUUCAAACAUAUCAAGGGGUCAAUGAGCAGUUUUGAAACAAUAAGGGAAUUUGAACACUGAAUGGUUGUCAGAAGAUAGUAAGAGAUCAUUAUUAAUUUUACUAGACAUAAUGAUGUUCUGAUUUUGUUUUUUUUUUAAAAAAAAAACAGUGUUAUUUCCUUUAUAGAUACAUCAUAUAGUAUUAACUAAUGAAAUGCUUUGAUAUCUGGAACGUUUAAAAAAUAUUCCCGAUGGAGUAAGUGCAAAGAAACAGGUAAGCAAAAUGCUGAUAAUUGCUGAAACACAGGAUGUGUACCUGGGGCUUCAUUUACUAUCUCUUCAUUUUCUAUUUUGAUAUUUGUUGGACAUUCUCAUAAAAAGGAAAGUUAUGUUUUAUUUUCUCAUAAGCUAGUAAUGAAAUAGCCCUACGUAACUGAUAUUGUAGAGACAAGAAUAGGUGUAAUAGAGCUUAAGGUUUUCAUUUAAAAAACUAUCUGUAGACUUCAAUGGAUCUUAGGUGGCAUCCAUGCAAUAACACUCGUGGAACAUGCAGGACAGGUGUGGAGCUCCAUCUUCACACAGUGACAUUUUUUAUGCUUCUGUUUUCCCUAAGAGUGGAGUGAGAGGAUGAUUAUUUUAUAUCAUGGACUUCUUCCCUGCUAUACUUUUUUUAAUUAUUUUACUUUCACUUCUGGGAUACAUGUGCUGAGCAUGCAGGCUUGUUUACAUAGGUAUACAUCUGCCAUGGUGGUUUGCUGCACCUAUCAACCCAUCAUACAGGUUUUAAGCCCUGCAUGCAUUAGGUAUUCGCCCUAAUGCUCUCCCUCGCCUUUCCCCCCACCCCCUGAUAGCCCCCAGUGAGUCAUAUUCCCCUCCCUGUGUCCAUGUGUUCUCAUUGUUCAACUCCCAUUUAUGAGUGAGAAUAUGUGGUGUUUAGUUUUCUGUUCCUGUGUUAGUUUGCUGAGAAUGAUGUUUUCCAGCUUCAUCCAUGUCCCUGAAAAGGACAUGAGCUCAUUCUUUUUUAUGGCUGCAUAGUAUUCCACGGUGUUAUAUGUGCCACAUUUUCUUAAUCCAGUCUGUCAUUGAUGGACAUUUGGGUUGUUUCCAAGUCUUUGCUAUUGUAAAUAGUGCUGCAAUAAACAUAUGUGUGCAUGUGUCUUUGUAGUAGAAUGAUUUAUAAUCCUUUGGGUAUAUGCCCAGUAAUGGGACUGAUGGGUCAAAUGGUAUUUCUGGUUCUAGAUCCUUGAGGAAUUGCCACACUGUCUUCCACAAUGGUUGAACUAAUUUAUACUCCCACCAACAGGGUAAAAGCAUUCCUAUUUCUCCACAUCCUCUCCAGCAUCUGUUGUUUCCAAAUGUUUUAAUGAUUGCCAUUCCACCUGGCGUGAGAUGGUAUCUCAUUGUGGUUUUGAUUUUCAUUUCUCUAAUGACCAGUGAUGAUAAGCUUUUUUUCAUAUGUUUGUUGGCCACAUAAAUGUCUUCUUUUGACUUUUAUGUGGAAACAAAUUUAACUGCACAGAGAGGUGAAAAUUAAUUAAUAACUUUUAAAGUAAUUCCCUAAGUUUCUAAGGAUCUAUAUGUUUCCAUCUGACUUUAUUUUAUUUAAGCUCUUGAUUGAUGCUGCAUUUGGAGCAGGUUCAUGAACAUGAAUAGAGUUAAUCUGGGACAGAUUUCCCUCAUUUGAUUUUUUCACUGUUUCCAUCACAGAACUUAUUUCAUGCUCACCAUGUUUGCAGGCAUUGAGCUUGGUACUGGAGCCACAGAGCUGGAUCAGACAGACUUGUGCAAAUAUUUCAGGUUUUUUUUGUGGGGGGGUCAUAUUUAUAGAUAAAUAACAGUAAAGAGUGACGGGUUCUUAUGAAAAUGCAUACACAGUGAAGUAGAGGGUGAAAAGGAGGGAUGUGUUCUAUGAGGAGGAAGAGUGAUAAGAAAGUGUAAGGGGAUGUGUCUGUGUCUAGACAUAUGUGUGUUCACGUGUGUGCGUGCUUGUGUGUACUGCAUGUGUAUAUGUGUGGCCAUGCACCUGUGUGCAUGUUCAUGUGUGUGUGUGUAUGUGUCUGUGUUGAGGACUAAAUUAAUUGGGCUUAUGGAAGCAGGGAGCCACUGAUAGGUUUAAUUAGAGACUGACAUGAUAUGAUAGUUUAGGUGGAUUUCUCUGGGGGCUGUGUUGAGGGACAGUGGGGAGGAGAGCUAGAAGGAAGAAAAGGACACAUGCAUAACAGAAGCAAUAUCUGUCUAUGGGAUGGUGGAAAGAAUCAGAAAAGACUUAAUAAAACAUGUGACACUUUAACUGAAUCUUGAAAUAGACAAGUGUUGGAGGAGGGAGUUGGACCAGAUACUUCAUGCAAAGGGAAGAAAAGUGCACAAACAAAAUAUGAGAAACAAGGCAGACAGGCAUUUUUUUAAAAUUUUCGCACCCACUGAUAGACCAGUGAUGCAUUCACAUCGUCUGCAUUCAUGAUCAACAAAAGUGCUUUCCUAGAACAUGAACCUCAACCCAAGUGUCGCCUCAAGUAGUGUAUGCAUGAACUCAAGCAUUAAAUUAGAAUUGAUUUUUUAAAAAACUCACACAAACAGAUGUAUUAUUUAAAAAUCUUUAAAGCAGGUUUAAACAGUUUUCAGGAUUAAAAGCAGCCACUAUUAGAAAGAACAAAAAUACAUUUGACAUAAAUAUAAGGAGCCUCAAUAGAACCUCCUGUACCCAGUCAUUGUCAAUGCCACAUCCAUUCAUUCACCAGCCCUUAUAUCAAUGCUUGCUGGGCUCACUUACCACGAUCAGCACGUGCAUGUCCUUAUCUGAAAGCUUGCCACUCAAAUGUGCUCAGUCUUACCUGUGUGGCUGGGAGUGUUGGGGAUUUAAUGUCAAGGGAAAGAAUCUUCCAUCAAUGAAUGAUGAAAGUUAGUUUUCACAACUUCCGGUCCCCUUGGCCCUCAUCAAAGGGCUCCAGGUGAGGUUUGGGCUCCUUGCUAUCCUCCGAGUUUCCACGGUAGUUUUAAGCACCAUUGCCCGUGGUAAUGGCUGACAUUGAUACUGCACUUUUUUUUUAUUUAAGAUGGAGUUCCCCUCUGCCACCCAGACUGGAGUACAGUGGCGCGAUCCUGGCCAUCGCAACCUCCGCCUCCCAGGUUCAAGCGAUUCUCCUGCCUCAGUCUCUCAAGUAGCUGGGAUAUGGGCACCUGUCACCAUGCCCAGCUAAUUUUUUUAAAAUUUAUUUUUAGUAGAGAUGGGGUUUCACCAUGUUGGCCAGGCUGGUCUCGAACUCCUGACCUCAGGUGAUCCACCCACACUUUUUAUUGUUUGCCUACACUUUCUAGACUUGCUUCAUCAGCCUACUCCGUUUCUGGUUGAUAUGGUUUGGUUGUGUCCCCACUCAAAUCUUAUCUAGAAGUGUAAUCCCCAAGUCUCAAGGGAGGGACCUGGUGUGAGGUGAUUGGAUUGGGGGGUGGUUCCCGCCAUGCUGUUCUCAUGAUAGUGAGUGAGUUCUCAUGAGAUCUGAUGGUUUUAUAAGGCAGUUUUCCCUAUUCUUGCUCACUCUUCUCUCUCUUUCUGCCAUGUGAAGAAGGUCCUUGCUUCCCCUUCACCUUCUACCAUGAUUGUAAGUUUCCUGAGGCCUCCCCUCAGCCAUGCACAACUGUGAGUCAAUUAAACCUCUUUCCUUUAUAAAUUACUCAGUCUCAGGUCGUAUCUUUAUAGCAGUAUGAGAAUGGACUAAUACACUGGUCUAUCCUUCAUCCAAAUUAACUACCUGCACUGCAGUCCUUGUCUCAGGCUCUGCUUUGAGGGACCCCAACUGUGACAGCCGCAUUAGAAUGCAUCACAUACUGCAGUGAAAUUCUAGAGUGGGUGUUGUCAGGUGGUGAUGAUUGUUAGAUAUGUCAGUCUGUUUUCAGGCUGCUGAUAAAGACAUACCUGAGACUGGGUAAUUUAUAAAGGAAAAGGAGGUUUAAUGGACUCACAGUUCCACAUGGCUAGGGAGGCCUCACAAUCAUGGCAGAAGGUGAAAGGCACGGCUUACAGGGUGGCAGCAAGAGAGGAAAUGAGAACCAAGUGAAAAGGUUUCUGCUUAUAAAACCAUCAGCUCUUGUGAGACUUAUUCAUUACAAUGAGAACAAUAUGGGGGAAACUGCCCCCAUGAUUCAAUUAUCUCCCACCAGAUCCCUCCUACAACACAUGAGAAUUGUGGGUGCUACAAUUCAAGAUGAGAUUUGAGUGGGGACAAAGUCAAACCAUAUCAUUAGAUAGGACACUGGAGAAAGGCAAGAAAGAAAAGACAUCUGAAGAAUGAAGGGAGCCAAAGAAAUGCCAACAUUUUGCUUUUUGAAGAAAAGCUAAAUUAAAGUCAAAAUGGAUUUAUCAAUUUCCUUGGGUUCGUGAAUGUACAGAACUUUAUUAAGACUGUCAUGCUGUCAUCAUGGCUGGAUCUGAUACGGCCACCGUGGACCUUGAGGUGACCUCGGGAAUGGAGACAGUGCAUGGGAGAGAAUCACAUUGGAAGGGGCCUGGGUUUCUGAAGACCCUGUAAGACAGAUCUCCUUGCAGCCCUGACUGCCCACAUUAGGGCUUUUAUGUUAGGGUGAAGUUACCUUGCAUUGUCAUAUAAGCAAUUGCUAUUUGUGGUGUCUUGCAAAUAAACCUAUUCUGAUCUAGUAUGUUUCCUAAAAAACAAAAGUUUGAACCCAGCUCUUUACGUGUUACAUGUUCUGAAUACAAAAAUAAGACCCAGUUUCUGCCCCCUAGCAGGACCCAAAACCCCUCAGUGAAGGCAUACACCAUAGGAAUAAUCUCACAAGUACUUU